RNAcentral lists this ribosomal RNA (417 nucleotides) under Babesia occultans. RNAcentral describes it as "SSU rRNA". It matches the Rfam family "Eukaryotic small subunit ribosomal RNA", at positions 499 to 979 of the family's 1831-position model. Lineage: Eukaryota; Apicomplexa; Aconoidasida; Piroplasmida; Babesiidae. The record is from RNAcentral.
UGUCUUGUAAAUGGAAUGAUGGUGACUUAAACCCUCACCAGAGUACCAAUUGGAGGGCAAGUCUGGUGCCAGCAGCCGCGGUAAUUCCAGCUCCAAUAGCGUAUAUUAAACUUGUUGCAGUUAAAAAGCUCGUAGUUGAAUUUCAGCGUUUCGCGUGUGCCUCUUUUGGCCCAUCUCGUCUCGCUUUUUUUAUUACUUUGAGAAAAUUAGAGUGUUUCAAGCAGGCUUUUGUCUUGAAUACUUGAGCAUGGAAUAAUAGAGUAGGACCUUGGUUCUAUUUUGUUGGUUUUGUUACCUUGGUAAUGGUUAAUAGGAACGGUUGGGGGCAUUCGUAUUUAACUGUCAGAGGUGAAAUUCUUAGAUUUGUUAAAGACGAACUACUGCGAAAGCAUUUGCCAAGGACGUUUCCAUUAAUCA